This is a small nuclear RNA of Callithrix jacchus (white-tufted-ear marmoset), 104 nucleotides long. NCBI's taxonomy places the organism in Eukaryota, Metazoa, Chordata, Mammalia, Primates, Cebidae. The record is from Ensembl.
GCUUCAGCAGCAAACAUAUACUCAAAUUGAAACAAAAUGCAGAGAAAAUUAGCAUGGCCCUGCAUAAGGAUGAUGCACAGAUCUCUGAAGUGGUCCAUAUUUUG